GUAUUGACGAAGAGUCCCAAAAGAGGACGAAACAGCUGUCCAGUAA
This is a non-coding RNA of Trichobilharzia regenti, 46 nucleotides long. Lineage: Eukaryota; Metazoa; Platyhelminthes; Trematoda; Strigeidida; Schistosomatidae. The record is from Rfam.